AUUAUUUUAUGAUGCAGUUUCCUAAAUCAAAUUUCAAUUAUUCAAUUGAUGUUUUUGAUAAAAAAAUUAAAAAGAAAAUUGAAUAAUUACGAAGAAAUUAGAACCUACGGUUUAGGAUGAUUUUCCUAAAUUUUAAUUUCAAACUACAUACUUGGAUAUGCAGACUUGAAAUUGAGCUCGUUUAUUGACAUUUAUACUUGAUAGAAAUGAUAAUAAUGGAUGGAUAUGUGUAUUUAAAGUCAUUUUCGAUGAUUUCUUUUUAUAACCCUGUAGCGGCCAUCUUGAAGCGCAGCAAAUCAAUUCAAUAAUUUGAAAAAAUCAAUUGGAUAAUUAAAAUUUCUAUCUAGCGCACUAUAUCAUGAAAUAAUCUUUAAUUCGGAACUAAAAUUUGUAAAAAAAAAUAUUAAGUCGCAGAGAAAUUAGAAACUAACGAUAAUAUUAAUAUUUGAAAAAAAUAUAGAACAAACAUUUAGUGACAUCUUAUAAUUUACUACAUAAUCGUAUGUUGAUAAAAACGAAAACAUUCAAAAUACACGCAUGCCGGUUUUCUUCAUAAAAAUAACGUGAGAGGUUAAUAAUUACUUGUAUUAUAUAAAUAUUAAUAAAUGUUUAAUAAUCAAUAAAAAUUAAAUAAGAAAUAUCAAAUGUUAUCUGUGCGGUUAUGUACUCGGCUUGCUAAAGCUUUUCCAACGCGAUCUGUAACAUGUCAAGCUCAAUUUAUACAAAGAUUUGUACAUAACGUGAAAAGAAGAGGUUAUCCAAGAUUUAUUGUUCAUAUACAAAGACAACAAAUUCAUUAUAAAAAUGAUGUAAAUAACAAUAAUACAUUUAAUUCAAACAAUAAUUAUUAUUAUAAUAGACGUCAAAAUAUCCGCCGAGUAAAUGAAUUGUUAUCUUACAUAGAGUUUUUGAAAAUUAAUUUAAAAAAUUCUAUAGUUGAUCAUGCAAUUUUGCUUGAAGCAUUAAAAAUUUUUGCUGCAUUAAAUGUAAAAGUUGAUGAUUCAAUCAAUAUUUUUUUACUCAGUUGUUGUGGAGAAAUUUUGCCCAAUGUUAAACCAGAAGUAAGACAGAAACUUCUCUAUGACGUGUGGAAUUCAUUAAAAGAAAAACAUUACACCUUUUCUUUUGAUUAUUAUCACACAUUUUUGAAUGUUUGUGCUCAAAAUUGUGAAGAUAUAAAACCUCAAGAAUUUAUUGAGAACAUGACUCUACAACCCAAUAAAGAUACUUAUAUUCAGUUAUUAAAUGUAUCUGCUAGUAGUGGUAAUUUAAAUAGUACUGUUUUUAUCCUAAAGAAGUUAAAAGAACUUGAGUAUUCAUUAAAUUUAGAUGUAAUAAAUCUAUUGAUAAAAUUUUAUUCAAAAAUCAAUGACAUGGCCUCUGCAAGAUUUGCUUUAAACAGUGUUAUUGAUUCACACACUGAAGUACCAAAUGAACUUUUUGGAAGUUUAGCAUGCGGUUAUGCACAACAAGGUGAUGUUGAUCAUGUAAUUGAAUUAUUAGAGCAACAUUCAAUAUCCACAAAACAAUUAUUACAAAUUAUGAAGAACUUAAGUUUGGCUAAUAAAGGUGAAACUAUUGAAAAUAUUUUUAAAUAUAUUCCAGUGAAAGAAAUGCUUACAGAUCCAUUGCUUAUAAAUUUUAUAAUCGAACUCACUUAUCUUCAUAAAAUCGAUGAUUGUCUUUUAAUACUGAACUUUUUUUCUACGAAAGGUUUUACUCAUGAUAUUCUUCAUGCAUCAAAAUAUUUUUUAAAAACUUUGGCAAGUAGUGAAACUUAUGUACCCACAAUUUUAAGUAUUAGCAACAAGUUUUCUGAGAACUUUGGAUUCACUACGGUGGCUCUAUCAUUAUUACAAGGAGCUCUGAUUUCAAAUAAAACAGAUCUAUCAUUUAUACUAUUAGAAAAAAUGGCAAAAAAUAAUGUAGAAAUCAGACCACAUUAUUACUGGCCAUUGCUAAUACAAAUUUUUAAACAAAAGGGUGAACCAGGUAUUUAUGAAGUUAUUGAUCAUUCAGUACAAAUGGAGGUCAAAUUAGAUUGGACUACAUUAUCUGAUUAUAUAAUCCCUUAUAUAAGUAUUUGGGAUCCAAUGGAAACAUUGAGAAAAUUGACAAACCACGGAGUACAUGAAUAUAUUGUAGUUACUCCGUUAAUUAAAUAUUAUUUAGAGCAUGAGCAAAUACCUAAUGCUUCGAUAUUAUGUCAAAAAAUGUAUAGAAUGACUGAUUUCAAUGAAAUAUUGCCCUCACUUGUUCAAGCAUAUAGAAUCAACAAGAAAGCUAUUGAUGUGAUUGUACAAAUUUUAUUAUUACCUGAUAAAACUAAAGAUUAUCCUGGAAAAUUUCUCUUCCAAGCAGUAAGUCAAAGACUGUUUCAUAAAAAUAUUGAAGAGUUUGAAAAGUUGUUAAACAUUUAUAAGGCAAACAAUAUUUCUAUAUCUAGUUUUUCAGCAAAUGCAAUUGAAAAUUAUGCAUUUAGUGCAGAUGUUGAAAAAAUCAAAAUAUUAUUUAAAGCUGCCAACAUAAUAAAUAAUGAAGACAAAUCACCAGUUUCUAACGCUGAACGAAUAUCGGGUAUGGUCCAUCCUCAGCACAUGAAUCAGGAACAACUAGACUGUCAUUUAACAGAAUUGAAAUCUAAAGGUCUCAAUUUUCGAGGAGCACUGAGAAAAUUUUUUUUAACAUGUGCUAAAAAUGGUGAUCUUAAGAAACUGGAAGAAAUUAAAAUGGAAAUGGAAAAGUAUGGAAUGCAAUUGACACCAGGCAUGAAAUCAUGUUUGUUAGAAUUGUAUGCUCGAAAUGAGAAAGCAAUUGAAGCCUACUAUCUUAUUUUGGACUUAAAAAAAGAUCAUCCAGAUUGGACACUAGAUUCUUCUAAGAUCUUGAUUACAGCAACUUCAUUACUUAAUCACAAAGAAGUAGAAAAAGCUCUAAAAUUAAUAAAAGAAACUGAGGUAGUUUCUUUUCCAAUGCAACGGCAGUGUUGGAAAUUGUUAGAUGUAGCUACGCAGUUGAAGAAACCACAAUUAGUUGAAUUACUAUUAAAUAAUUUGGUCAAGAAAGGAUUCUGUUCAAUUGACAAUACCGUAUUAGGACCUCUUGUACGAGUACAUUUGUUAAGAAAUGAUUUAACAUCGGCUGUUGAAACUUUUAAAAUUCUCAAGAAUCGACAGAAGAUUUUUAUGCUAUGCUCGAUGACGUUCUCGAGAUAGUUGCAAAGAUUCAUAGUCGAGAGCAAGUUGAUCACGAUCUGAUGAUAGCAUAUGCACGAUUUGAUAUGUUAAAUCAAUUAAAAUUAAUUUUACAGAAGCUACAAGGAAAACACAUCCAUUUUAAAAGAAUUGUAGGUGGAAUGGAAGAAAAAGUAAAACAAAAAGUAUUAUUAACACUUCUUGACGCUGCUCGUGACAUACAUGGAAUAAAUCGCCCAUUAAUUUGUGAC
Molecule: unclassified non-coding RNA, 3445 nt
Filed under: Chelonus insularis
Lineage: Eukaryota; Metazoa; Arthropoda; Insecta; Hymenoptera; Braconidae
Description: leucine-rich PPR motif-containing protein, mitochondrial-like, transcript variant X1
Source: RNAcentral